CGCACGGGUGCGUAACGCGUAUACAAUCUACCUUUUGCUGAGGGAUAGCCCAGAGAAAUUUGGAUUAAUACCUCAUGGUAUGUAUAAAUGGCAUCAUUUAUAUAUUAAAGGUUACGGCAAAAGAUGAGUAUGCGUUCUAUUAGCUAGAUGGUAAGGUAACGGCUUACCAUGGCAACGAUAGAUAGGGGCCCUGAGAGGGGGAUCCCCCACACUGGUACUGAGACACGGACCAGACUCCUACGGGAGGCAGCAGUGAGGAAUAUUGGACAAUGGGCGAGAGCCUGAUCCAGCCAUGCCGCGUGCAGGAAGACUGCCCUAUGGGUUGUAAACUGCUUUUAUACAGGAAGAAACACUCCCUCGUGAGGGAGCUUGACGGUACUGUAAGAAUAAGGAUCGGCUAACUCCGUGCCAGCAGCCGCGGUAAUACGGAGGAUCCAAGCGUUAUCCGGAAUCAUUGGGUUUAAAGGGUCCGUAGGUGGAUAAUUAAGUCAGAGGUGAAAUCCUGCAGCUCAACUGUAGAAUUGCCUUUGAUACUGGUUAUCUUGAGUUAUUAUGAAGUAGUUAGAAUAUGUAGUGUAGCGGUGAAAUGCAUAGAUAUUACAUAGAAUACCGAUUGCGAAGGCAGAUUACUAAUAAUAUACUGACACUGAUGGACGAAAGCGUGGGGAGCGAACAGGAUUAGAUACCCUGG
This 691-nucleotide ribosomal RNA is filed under the name uncultured bacterium. RNAcentral describes it as "bacterial SSU rRNA". It matches the Rfam family "Bacterial small subunit ribosomal RNA", at positions 99 to 790 of the family's 1533-position model. The record is from RNAcentral.